GCUCAGGACGAACGCUGGCGGCGUGCCUAAUACAUGCAAGUCGAACGAGUUCUGAUUAUUGAAAGGUGCUUGCAUCUUGAUUUUAAUUUUGAACGAGUGGCGGACGGGUGAGUAACACGUGGGUAACCUGCCCUUAAGUGGGGGAUAACAUUUGGAAACAGAUGCUAAUACCGCAUAAAUCCAAGAACCGCAUGGUUCUUGGCUGAAAGAUGGCGUAAGCUAUCGCUUUUGGAUGGACCCGCGGCGUAUUAGCUAGUUGGUGAGGUAACGGCUCACCAAGGCAAUGAUACGUAGCCGAACUGAGAGGUUGAUCGGCCACAUUGGGACUGAGACACGGCCCAAACUCCUACGGGAGGCAGCAGUAGGGAAUCUUCCACAAUGGACGCAAGUCUGAUGGAGCAACGCCGCGUGAGUGAAGAAGGCUUUCGGGUCGUAAAACUCUGUUGUUGGAGAAGAAUGGUCGGCAGAGUAACUGUUGUCGGCGUGACGGUAUCCAACCAGAAAGCCACGGCUAACUACGUGCCAGCAGCCGCGGUAAUACGUAGGUGGCAAGCGUUAUCCGGAUUUAUUGGGCGUAAAGCGAGCGCAGGCGGUUUUUUAAGUCUGAUGUGAAAGCCCUCGGCUUAACCGAGGAAGUGCAUCGGAAACUGGGAAACUUGAGUGCAGAAGAGGACAGUGGAACUCCAUGUGUAGCGGUGAAAUGCGUAGAUAUAUGGAAGAACACCAGUGGCGAAGGCGGCUGUCUGGUCUGUAACUGACGCUGAGGCUCGAAAGCAUGGGUAGCGAACAGGAUUAGAUACCCUGGUAGUCCAUGCCGUAAACGAUGAAUGCUAGGUGUUGGAGGGGUUUCCGCCCUUCAGUGCCGCAGCUAACGCAUUAAGCAUUCCGCCUGGGGAGUACGACCGCAAGGUUGAAACUCAAAGGAAUUGACGGGGGCCCGCACAAGCGGUGGAGCAUGUGGUUUAAUUCGAAGCAACGCGAAGAACCUUACCAGGUCUUGACAUCUUUUGAUCACCUGAGAGAUCAGGUUUCCCCUUCGGGGGCAAAAUGACAGGUGGUGCAUGGUUGUCGUCAGCUCGUGUCGUGAGAUGUUGGGUUAAGUCCCGCAACGAGCGCAACCCUUAUGACUAGUUGCCAGCAUUUAGUUGGGCACUCUAGUAAGACUGCCGGUGACAAACCGGAGGAAGGUGGGGAUGACGUCAAAUCAUCAUGCCCCUUAUGACCUGGGCUACACACGUGCUACAAUGGAUGGUACAACGAGUUGCGAGACCGCGAGGUCAAGCUAAUCUCUUAAAGCCAUUCUCAGUUCGGACUGUAGGCUGCAACUCGCCUACACGAAGUCGGAAUCGCUAGUAAUCGCGGAUCAGCACGCCGCGGUGAAUACGUUCCCGGGCCUUGUACACACCGCCCGUCACACCAUGAGAGUUUGUAACACCCGAAGCCGGUGGCGUAACCCUUUUAGGGAGCGAGCCGUCUAAGGUGGGAC
Molecule: ribosomal RNA, 1486 nt
Filed under: uncultured organism
Description: SSU rRNA
Rfam family: Bacterial small subunit ribosomal RNA
Source: RNAcentral